ACUGCUAUCGGGAUAGGACUAAGACAUGCUAGUCAUGCGCUUUCUAGCUAAUGUGAAAGUGCGGCAUACAGCUCAGUAACACGUGGCUAACCUGCCCUUGGGACGGAAACAACCCCGGGAAACUGGGGCUAAUUUUCGAUAGGUGAAAAAUUCUGGAAUGAAUUUUCGCUUAAAAGGCGUUUAUGUCAUGCUCAUAGGCGUUGCCCAGGGAUGGGGCCGCGACCGAUCAGGUUGUUGGUGAGGUAAUGGCUCACCAAGCCUUUUACCGGUACGGGCCGUGAGAGCGGGAGCCCGGAGAUGGGCACUGAGACAAGGGCCCAGGCCCUACGGGGCGCAGCAGUCGCGAAAACUUUGCAAUACACGAAAGUGUGACAAGGCUAUCCCGAGUGCCAUCCGCUGAGGAAGGCUUUUAUCCAGUAUAAAUAGCUGGGAGAAUAAGGAGAGGGCAAGUCUGGUGUCAGCCGCCGCGGUAAUACCAGCUCUCCGAGUAGUGUGGAUGUUUAUUGGGCCUAAAGCAUCCGUAGCUUGCUAAGCAAGUCCCCUGUUAAAUCCACCGAUUCAAUCGGUGGAUUGCGGGGGAUACUGUUUGGCUAGGGGACGGGAGAGGCCGACGGUAUUUCCGGGGUAGGGGUGAAAUCCUAUAAUCCCGGGAAGACCACCAGUGGCGAAGGCUGUCGGCUAGAACGCGCCCGACGGUGAGGGAUGAAAGCUGGGGGAGCGAACCGGAUUAGAUACCCGGGUAGUCCCAGCUGUAAACGAUGCAGGCUAGGUGUUUGGGCGGCCACGAGCCGCUCUAGUGCCGCAGGGAAGCUGUUAAGCCUGCCGCCUGGGGAGUACGGCCGCAAGGCUGAAACUUAAAGGAAUUGGCGGGGGAGCACCACAAGGGGUGAAG
Molecule: ribosomal RNA, 892 nt
Filed under: uncultured archaeon
Lineage: Archaea
Description: bacterial SSU rRNA
Rfam family: Archaeal small subunit ribosomal RNA
Source: RNAcentral